Molecule: non-coding RNA, 373 nt
Organism: Pelobates cultripes (western spadefoot toad)
Lineage: Eukaryota; Metazoa; Chordata; Amphibia; Anura; Pelobatidae
Source: the annotation of a GenBank genome assembly
GUUCAUUGUAUAUUGCAGCUAAGGAACAAAGUGAUUUUUGCUUCUUUACAUAUUUGUAUAAUGUCAGCAUAGCAGCUUAGAGAAGGAUAGAAAUGUGCCUUACUUGUUUUUGACAGGGCUGUUCACCAGUCAGGAAUUCAAAGUGAAUUUUCAAUCGUAAACCAAAGUAGGCAAACAAAGCAUAUCCGACUUGGAGAAAUUUCAAAUUCGGCUAUUUUGACCUUUAAAUUUGAAAGUCUUAAAAUUUCUGACAAUUCUCACUUUAGUGAAUAAACCAGUGAGCCUUAAAGGGACACUAGUCACCAGAACCACUACAGUUUAUUGGAAGUGUUCUGGUGAGUAGAAUCAUUCCCUUCAGGCUUUUUGCUGUAAA